This 498-nucleotide ribosomal RNA is filed under the name uncultured bacterium. RNAcentral's name for it is "partial 16S ribosomal RNA". It matches the Rfam family "Bacterial small subunit ribosomal RNA", at positions 28 to 507 of the family's 1533-position model. The record is from RNAcentral.
GACGAACGCUGGCGGCGUGCCUAAUACAUGCAAGUCGAGCGGACGAAUCGAAAGCUUGCUUUUGAUUCGUUAGCGGCGGACGGGUGAGUAACACGUGGGCAACCUGCCCUGUAGACGGGGAUAACACCGAGAAAUCGGUGCUAAUACCGGAUAAUACGAAAUGUCGCAUGACGUUUCGUUGAAAGACGGCGCAAGCUGUCGCUACAGGAUGGGCCCGCGGCGCAUUAGCUAGUUGGUGAGGUAACGGCUCACCAAGGCGACGAUGCGUAGCCGACCUGAGAGGGUGAUCGGCCACACUGGGACUGAGACACGGCCCAGACUCCUACGGGAGGCAGCAGUAGGGAAUCUUCCGCAAUGGACGAAAGUCUGACGGAGCAACGCCGCGUGAGCGAAGAAGGCCUUCGGGUCGUAAAGCUCUGUUGUUAGGGAAGAACAAGUAACGCAGUAACUGGCGUUACCGUGACGGUACCUAACGAGAAAGCCACGGCUAACUACGUG